Molecule: ribosomal RNA, 253 nt
Filed under: uncultured bacterium
Lineage: Bacteria
Description: partial 16S ribosomal RNA
Rfam family: Bacterial small subunit ribosomal RNA
Source: RNAcentral
UACGAAGGGGGCUAGCGUUGUUCGGAAUCACUGGGCGUAAAGGGCGCGUAGGCGGCCGAUCAAGUCGGGGGUGAAAGCCUGUGGCUCAACCACAGAAUUGCCUUCGAUACUGGUUGGCUUGAGACCGGAAGAGGUAAGUGGAACUGCGAGUGUAGAGGUGAAAUUCGUAGAUAUUCGCAAGAACACCAGUGGCGAAGGCGGCUCACUGGCCCGAUACUGACGCUGAGGCACGAAAGCGUGGGGAGCGAACAGG